RNAcentral lists this ribosomal RNA (241 nucleotides) under uncultured bacterium. RNAcentral's name for it is "partial 16S ribosomal RNA". It matches the Rfam family "Bacterial small subunit ribosomal RNA", at positions 15 to 249 of the family's 1533-position model. The record is from RNAcentral.
GAUCCUGGCUCAGAUUGAACGCUGGCGGCAGGCCUAACACAUGCAAGUCGAACGGUAACAGAAAGCAGCUUGCUGCUUUGCUGACGAGUGGCGGACGGGUGAGUAAUGUCUGGGAAACUGCCUGAUGGAGGGGGAUAACUACUGGAAACGGUAGCUAAUACCGCAUAACGUCGCAAGACCAAAGAGGUGGGACCGUUAGGGCCUCUUGCCAUCGGAUGUCGCCCAGAUGGGAUUAGCUAGG